RNAcentral lists this ribosomal RNA (450 nucleotides) under uncultured bacterium. Its description in RNAcentral is "partial 16S ribosomal RNA". It matches the Rfam family "Bacterial small subunit ribosomal RNA", at positions 354 to 796 of the family's 1533-position model. The record is from RNAcentral.
GUGGGGAAUCUUCCGCAAUGGACGAAAGUCUGACGGAGCAACGCCGCGUGAGUGAAGAAGGUUUUCGGAUCGUAAAGCUCUUUCGUUAGGGACGAACGUGCUCUUUGUGAAUAAUGAGGAGUAAUGACGGUACCUAAAUAAGAAGCCACGGCUAACUACGUGCCAGCAGCCGCGGUAAUACGUAGGUGGCAAGCGUUGUCCGGAAUUAUUGGGCGUAAAGCGCGCGCAGGCGGGAUAUCAAGUCUGUCUUAAAAGUGCGAGGCUCAACCUCGUGAGGGGACAGAAACUGGUAUUCUUGAGUGUCGGAGAGGAAAGUGGAAUUCCAAGUGUAGCGGUGAAAUGCGUAGAGAUUUGGAAGAACACCAGUGGCGAAGGCGACUUUCUGGACGAUGUCUGACGCUGAGGCGCGAAAGCUAGGGGAGCGAACGGGAUUAGAUACCCGUGUAGUCC